CCUACGGGUGGCAGCAGUGAGGAAUAUUGGUCAAUGGGCUUACGCCUGAACCAGCCAAGUCGCGUGAGGGAAGACUGCCCUAUGGGUUGUAAACCUCUUUUGUCAGGGAGUAACGCCGGCUACGUGUACCCUGUCUUAUAGUCCUUGUAGAUAAAGCAUGGGCUAACACCGUGCCAGCAGCCGCGGUAAUCCGUAGGUGCCAAGUGUUAUCCGGAAUUUUGGGGCGUAAGGGGGAAGCAUGCGGCAGCAAAGGUCUGUGGUGAAAGACUGAAGCUUAACUUCAGUAAGCCAUAGAAACCGGGCAGCUAGAGUGCAGGAGAGGAUGGUGGAAUUCCAUGUGUAGCGGUGAAAUGCGUAGAUAUAUGGAGGAACACCAGUGGCGAAGGCGACGAUCUGGCCUGCAACUGACGCUCAGUCCCGAAAGCGUGGGGAGCAAAUAGGAUUAGAUACCCCAGUAGUC
This 460-nucleotide ribosomal RNA is filed under the name uncultured bacterium. RNAcentral's name for it is "partial 16S ribosomal RNA". It matches the Rfam family "Bacterial small subunit ribosomal RNA", at positions 338 to 795 of the family's 1533-position model. The record is from RNAcentral.